GAUGAAGAACGCCGCGAAAUGCGAUAAGUAAUGUGAAUUGCAGAAUUCAGCGAAUCAUCGAAUUUUUGAACGCACAUUGCGCCUCAGAGUAUUCUUUGAGGCAUACCUGUUCGAGCGUCGUUUAGACCAUAAGGCUUUGCCUUGCGUUGAUUUAUUGGAGCAAUCCAAUAAUCUAAACUUGUUGGCGUCGUAGUUUGACCAAGACACAGCACAAUGUGAUACUAGUUGAAAUAAUGACUGCCCGUUCCUAAAACUGUUUCUCACGAAACGUAGGUUCGACCUCGGAUCAGGUAAGACUACCCGCUGAACUUAAGCAUAUCAAUAAGCGGAGGA
Molecule: unclassified non-coding RNA, 333 nt
Filed under: soil metagenome
Description: partial contains 5.8S ribosomal RNA, internal transcribed spacer 2, and large subunit ribosomal RNA
Rfam family: 5.8S ribosomal RNA (bases 1-120)
Source: RNAcentral